UACGAAGGGGGCUAGCGUUGCUCGGAAUCACUGGGCGUAAAGGGUGCGUAGGCGGGUCUUUAAGUCAGGGGUGAAAUCCUGGAGCUCAACUCCAGAACUGCCUUUGAUACUGAAGAUCUUGAGUUCGGGAGAGGUGAGUGGAACUGCGAGUGUAGAGGUGAAAUUCGUAGAUAUUCGCAAGAACACCAGUGGCGAAGGCGGCUCACUGGCCCGAUUCUGACGCUGAGGCACGAAAGCGUGGGGAGCAAACAGG
This 253-nucleotide ribosomal RNA is filed under the name uncultured bacterium. Its description in RNAcentral is "partial 16S ribosomal RNA". It matches the Rfam family "Bacterial small subunit ribosomal RNA", at positions 524 to 776 of the family's 1533-position model. The record is from RNAcentral.